GCCCAGGUGGCGGAAUUGGUAGACGCAGCAGACUCAAAAUCUGCCGUUCGCAAGAUCGUGCUGGUUCGAUUCCAGUCCUGGGCA
RNAcentral lists this transfer RNA (84 nucleotides) under Bacteroidota bacterium. Its description in RNAcentral is "Bacteroidetes bacterium tRNA-Leu". It matches the Rfam family "tRNA". Rfam says of the family: Transfer RNA (tRNA) molecules are approximately 80 nucleotides in length. The record is from RNAcentral. RNAcentral also lists the same sequence under 5 other names. Lineage: Bacteria; Pseudomonadati; Bacteroidota.